GACGAACGCUGGCGGCGUGCUUAACACAUGCAAGUCGAGCGGUAAGGCCCUUUCGGGGGUACACGAGCGGCGAACGGGUGAGUAACACGUGGGUGACCUGCCCUUAGCUCUGGGAUAAGCCUGGGAAACUGGGUCUAAUACCGGAUAUGACUCCAUGACGCAUGUUGUGGGGUGGAAAGCCUUGUGCGGCUAGGGGAUGGGCCCGCGGCCUAUCAGCUUGUUGGUGGGGUGANGGCCUACCAAGGCGACGACGGGUAGCCGGCCUGAGAGGGCGACCGGCCACACUGGGACUGAGACACGGCCCAGACUCCUACGGGAGGCAGCAGUGGGGAAUCUUGCGCAAUGGGCGAAAGCCUGACGCAGCGACGCCGCGUGAGGGAUGACGGCCU
This 389-nucleotide ribosomal RNA is filed under the name uncultured bacterium. RNAcentral's name for it is "bacterial SSU rRNA". It matches the Rfam family "Bacterial small subunit ribosomal RNA", at positions 28 to 417 of the family's 1533-position model. The record is from RNAcentral.